RNAcentral lists this long non-coding RNA (5232 nucleotides) under Cricetulus griseus (Chinese hamster). RNAcentral's name for it is "lncRNA (ENSCGRG00015037256.1)". Lineage: Eukaryota; Metazoa; Chordata; Mammalia; Rodentia; Cricetidae. The record is from RNAcentral.
UUUUUUUUUCCUAAAGGGAUGAUAUAGCUUUCUAUGGUAAAUUUUUUUAUUCAUUUAGAAUUCUUAGAGACUGUAAGAAGGGAUCUGGCAAUAGUUUUUCUAAUAAAGUUAGUCAAUUGUGCCAUCACUACCUCCUUACUAAUAAUUCUCUAUUUCUCCUUGGUUACUAAAUGCUGUGUGUAUGUAGGUCUCUACUGGGCUGAUGCCCCUUUCAUUAAUUUUGUGAUUUCCCCAUACUGGUUGUAUGCUGUUAUACUAUUUUAUAGUAAAAUUUAAUAAUCAAGAGAGCUAAUUCAUUUUACUAUUAUUAUCCAGUUCAUUACAUUUGCAUGUUUAUUCUUCUAUUUCAAUGCUAAGAUCAAGUCUGAAAAUGAACUGGUUUGAACAGAAAUUUUGUGAAUUAGUUUAUGCAGACAUCUUUAAAACAGUGAAUCUUUGUGUGCAAGAACACAGUACGACUUUUCAUUUAGUUUAGCCUUCUUUUAUGCCUGUGAUUGGGGUUCUUAUCCUUUGUUUUGUUUUUGUUUUUGUUUUUGUUUUUGUUUUUUGUAGACCUUGAACAUUGCCAACUAAUUGUAAUGAGACACCAUGGUGCAAUGUUUAUAAUCAAGGGCUCUGGAGCCAGACUGCUGGGACAACAAUUUGAGUACUUUCUCACCCUUGACUACACAAAUUGCAUCUCACUGUUUAAUCUCUAAAAUGGAAAUGGUGGGCCAGGAGAUAGAUCUCAGUUGGUAGAGUGCUCCCUUGGCAUGUGCAAGGCCCUGCAUACAGUCCCCAGUUCCUCUCAUGAAUUAAAAUAUAAGUGACAAGAUUUACAUUACAGGGUAGUUGGGAAAACUAACCAGAUUUUGUGAGAGACUUUAAAGAGAUUAUUUAUGGAAACCACUGUUUUUAGAAUGCUUAGUUCAAGCUCGACAUGGUGCUACACUGUGCCUUGCACUUGGGAGGCUGAGGAGGAUUCAAGGUCAUUCUGAACUACAUAGUGAGAUUGUCUUUAAAAGGAAAAACAAGCAAGUAAAAGAAAAGAAAGAGGGUGAGGCUGGAUCAUUAUAAACAAUAUAACACACGAAGAACUUCACAACCAUAACCAAAGGUUAACAACCAAUAGAAAACCUGUUAGCAGUUUUCAAUUGUACAGUAUUUGGAGGACAAUUCAGCAUUACCUAUCCUUUUUGUACAUUUACCCCUUUGACCCAGGAAUUCUAAAUUUAACUACAUUAAUUACCUGAAAGAGACACUGGAAUGAACACAAGAUUUGAUUUGCAGUGGGAUACUUUGGGGACUAUGCUCUGCAGUGCACACUCUCAGAAAGAGGCAGAAAUUCUACAGUUGUUUAUCUCAAUAAAUUUUACCUGAAGGUAGGGUAUACUACAGCUAGGACAAUGGUGUGCCUGGCAAAUAAUUGUUUUCCGUUACUUAGCAAGGGAAGUAGAUCUUUGCCAUUUGGGGCCACACAGUAUCCUUGUUUAAACAGACUAUUCUUUAAUGUGUUUAUGGCAAACAAUGGUUUAACUGUGAAAAUGGGACCAGUUCAUAAAAAUAUUAAUGCCUACUGUUCAAACCUGUCCCUAGCUGGCAGAUGAUUUCAUUUUUCUGUUUUUCUUGUUGCUGUGAUUUUUUUAAUGGAUAAGGGUUUAUUGUAGCUUUCAGUUCAAGAGUGUGGUCCAUUACAGCAGGGAAGUCAUGGUGGAAAGAACUUGAGGAGACAACUGGCCACAUUACCCGUGCAGCCAAGAGGCAAAGAACAGUGAAAUGUCCUGAUCAGCUAGCACCCUCCUUUUAUACAGUCCAGGACAGACCCAAGUUCAAGGCAUGGCACCUCUCUUCUUUAGGAUGUCUCACCACCUAAAGGAACCUAACCAAGAUUAUCCCUCCUUAGCCUGCCCAGGAGUUCACUGGAUAUCAAUAGUCCCUCAAGUGUGUGCCCAGGGACUUGUUUCCUAGAUGAUUUCAGACUCUUAGAGUGGACAAUAUUAAUCAUCACACUACCUCAUAAUACACUUGCACUAAAUAAUAUUUAAUAGAAAACAUUGAAGAUAACCUAGAUGUCUACUAAUUCACAGACUAGUUAGAUAUCUAACAACAAAAUACUUAUGAGUUAUCAGAAAGAAAAAGGCAGAAAUGAAAUUAUAUCUAUGAUGCAUUAAUUAUUAUACAUGUUUUGAAUAGUACAUAUAACACACAAGCAUGCCUGUAUAUUCAAGGAAAAUACACAAAAAUGUGCAUCAUAAAUCAUAUUUUGCUUCUGGAGAGUGAAAUGGUCUAGAAAGCACAAGACAUUCUCAAUAAACUUCCAUGCUUCUAAAUAUUUCAAUGUUGAAUUGUUAAUAAAAGGACUUUAAUUAGAAUUCAAAUAAGUUUGUCUUCAAUUUUCAGUAUUGAUUGACCUCACAAGAAAUGCAAGCAACAACUAAUCUAAUGGAUUAGAAAUCCAUUUGAAGUGAAGCUUGCUCACUAAGACUAUUAUACUGUAAAAGAUAAGGUCAUUUAUUUUGGUCAAUUCAUCCAGGGAAAAUUUGAUUCAAAUAAUGCUUAUCAGAGAAUGUCUACUGAGCAAUACUGUCUCUCGUCUUUCCUUUAGCUAUAGUAUUACCAUUGGAGUGUCUAAGGAUCAUUAAGGUGACUACUUGAUGCUGGGCUAUAUUAAGUUUGAAUGAAAGCCCAUUCAUUCCUCCUGUGUGAAGAACUAACAAUAGUCCUAUAGGAUGAGAUGCAAGAUACUAGAGUUUUAUCAGGUCCAAAUCUCAUGCAGUGAGUUCCAAGUAGCUCAGCAGUGAAAUUGAACACAGUGGGUUUAUGUUAGCAAGUGUGAAACCAAACAAGUACAGCUGCAACAUCAAGUACAGAGAUUGGUGUGGUGAUAUCUUGUUUGUACAAAUAAAGGGUGUCUGAAGAUCAGAGGGUGGAGCUUGCCACUUGCUAACAGACAGACAGGAAGUGAGAUGUCUGGGCAGAGACAGGAAGUGAGAUGGCUGGGCGGAGAGAGGAAUAUGAGCAAGAGGAAACAGGAACUCAUUCUCUUUUCAGCUGGGAAGUUGGCAAGGUAAGGUGCUCCUCCAUCUCUCUGAUCUCCAGGCAUGCUAUAUUUGUACAAUAAAGAUAUCACCACAGAUUGGUUUAUUGCCUUACCACAAAAAGAGAUUAUUUUGUUUCCAAAAUGAUGCCCUCUUUGAACAGAGGGAGCAUGGGGGUUUUAUUCAGGGAUCCUAUUCAUACUCAUACAAGAGCUGGCCAUUCCCAAGCAUGCCUAGUUAAGACUAUAAUUUAAGAGGAAGGGAUAGCUACAACUUAGGGCUUGCUUAUCUCAACAUCCUGAGGCACAUGUUUAAAAUAUUGAAGUGAGAGACAAAAAUGUAAGCAUACUCGGCUUGAAAAAUAAAAGUUUAGUUAAAGAUAAAGAACACUUGAAGAUGUAUCAGCAUAGAGUUCGGCCCUAAAUAUUGCCAUCUUGCACAGUGGCUAACAGAAGUAGGCUCUUGCAGAGUGGGUCUCUGGUCCCCUAACACUUUGUGUGGAAAUGCAGCCGUCAACACUCCAGCCUUCAUUUAGUAGCUCUCUCUCAACCUACAUCAGACAGGACUUGCCCUCUUUCUCCAAUCAUAUUCUCUCAACCCACAUGUCUCCUUGCUUUUUGCCAUCAGAACACAUAAGAGGGUCAAAACAAGGCUUCCUCACGAGGCUUCCUCCUGUGUGCCCCUUCAGGUUGGUUGUGAUGUUCCCUUCAUUGGAACAGCUUUCGGUGAAAGUUGUCAUCAAGGGUCCUCUUUCUCUUAGCCAUUGCCGCUGAUCCAAUUUGUAGAAACAUUGAAGCCUAGGUAUGGGCAGGUGAAGUGUACAAAUGAGCAGGCCUACACCGGCACAAUCCAAAAUGGCUUCCUUGAGGAGUUUCACCCUCAAGUAUAUCCUGCUAAAGACAAAAUAGCACAGUUUUUAUGAUGCACUUGCCUUUUCUGUUUCCCUGUAAUGGUGCUCAGAAUGCCUUCAGCUUUCCAUCACAUCUGCUUUUAAUCUAGGCAACAUCUUAAUAUUUCUUGGGAAUAUUGUUCUCUACUUGAUUUUGCUAUUGCUGGGGAGCCAGGACACUUCCUAGACUUAAUGGCAUUUGGAGCCUAAUAAUGAUCACUAACUCAAGUUGACCUCCAACUGGAUAUGAAGCCAUAUCCCAGGCUGUUGAGCAUUCCAGUGGUUCUCAUGGUGAGGUCCUGCCCCUUCUCUUGACCCUUGGCUAUAAGAAGUGCAUGAAGCCUCUAGCCUCUUUACCAACCGUGCAGUCUUCCUGAGGUAACUUAUUCCUGAAGAAACUCAGAACCAGGGUGAAAAGUGGAGUGCUACCUCUUCACAUGCACUAUAAAGACAUGCUUCUUGACUUUAAAGUUACUCAGUAUUUCUUGUUUUCAGAUAAGGGGUUUAUCACUGAUCCCAGGAGAAGCAAGAAUAAUCUCAUUUGGCAUCUCCAUUCUUUCUGGGAGUUCAUGAGCCCCACGCUUUCCCUUUGUCUGCUCAGUGCCAUCCUCUCUGUGUGCUGCCACUAGUUCUGAGCCUGUGUAUUCAUCAUGACUUUGCCUAGUACACAGCAAAUAAAAGAAGACUUAUUUGUAUCCUAUGUCCUUAGAAAUUUGGAUGCACAGGUGGGCUGGGGAAGUAGCGUCUGUGCUGCCUCUGCAGUCCCUCUCUACAUUCUGAGUCUUUCUACCAUAAUUACUCCCAUGCGACUGACUCAGUGCUCUGCUUGAUGACCUCAGGAAAACACUCAGUUUCUGGUAUUCUGGAUAAACAAAAAGCAAAUAGGUACAUUUCCUCUGAGCAGAAUAUAUUCCUAGCCAUCCAUACAAUGAAUAACUUUAGCUCGUUAUGAAAUUGAUUCAAACACUGUCAAAUUUUAGUCUCGAGGUAUGCUCCAAGAAGCUCAUACUCUCAGGGAGGCUAACUGUCAGAAACUGAGACACUGCCUUAAGUAAAUUCCUACUUUUGCAAGUGGUUUGAACCUGCAAACUUACAAGUUCUCUGCCAGUGUCACUUGACCCUGCAAAGGCUCUCUCUUGCUGGGAACAAACAGAGCAUGUUUCCCCCAAGCAUUAAGAGUUCACAAGCCCAGCUGGGCAUUGGUGGCCUUUAAUCCCAGCACUAGGGAGGCAGAGGCAGGCAGAUCUCUGUGAAUUCGAGGCCAGCCUGGUCUCCAGAGUGAGUUCCAGGAUAGGCUCCAAAGCUACACAGAGAAACCCUGUCUCG